CUGAAGCAAUACCUGAUGAAGAGGUUCGAUAUGAAGGAUCUUGGAGAAGUCACGCACUGUCUGGGAAUCCGGAUCGCCAGAGAUCGUACAGAACGACGACUUUCGUUGGAUCAAGAAGCCUAUAUUGAGAAGAUAUUUCAGCGCUGACGGACGCUAGACCGGUAGCAACCCCCGCCCGAUUCAAGCAUUAAGCUCGAGAAAUCAGUGGCUCUUAAAACAGUUGCAGGGGCAAUGGAAAAGCGGAAAUUACCAUUCAAGGAAGCAGUCGGCUGUUUGUCUUUUGUGGCGCAAGCUACACAUCCAGACAUUGUGUAUGCAGUAAACGCCGUAAGGCAAUUUCUUGUCAAUCCUGGUAGACAGCACUGGCAUGCAGUCAAGCGUCCGAUAUGUGAAAGGGAUGUCCAAGAAAAACCUGGUAUACACGAAGGACGAAUGUGGACGAUUGCAAGGAUACAGCGAUGCCGAUUGCGGAGGAGACUUUGAUGAUCGAAGAUCCACGUCUGCCUACCUGUUUACCAUGCAAGGGGCGGCAAUAUCCUGAAGCGUCAAAAAGCAGCCAAUAGUAGCUCUUUCGUCGUGCGAGGCGGAAUACAGGUCGCUCUCGCGGGCAUUUCAAGAAGCUAUGUGGUGGAGGAAGUUGAAGCGUUGCCCAUCUACUGCGAUAAUCCGCCCGCAAUCAGCAUCGCAAGGAAUGGAUCCUACAACCCUAGGACAAAGCACGUGAGCACUCGUUACCAUUUUGUUCAUGAGUGCCUUGAACAGAACAACGUGAAGCUUGAGUAUAUCCCCACGACGGAUCAACCUGCGGACGGAUUCACAAAAGCGACAACCAUUCGGAGACAAGCUAAACUACGAUAAUUUGUAGGAUUCACGGAUUAGGAAGGUGUAUUGAAUGUAAUACGUUCAACCGAACAUACCGUUUUUCAUUAUGAAGACAAAAACAUGACAUAUCAUGACAUUUACAUGAUAUGAUAUUUUAAGAACACCUUCUGAUAUUGUUUCUCGGUUUUUACCUUAGAAUUCUUCCAGCUGUAAUGCUCUAAAUUGUUUAAUUAUUAUUUUCAUUUAAUUUAAUCACUUUUUUUCAAGUUCCUACAGGAGUCCCUCCUCUAAGAAUACUAUCGGGAUUAUUUGCAGGAAUUUCUCAAGAAAUUCCUCCACGAACGUCACCAGAUGUUUUUUUCCAGGAGUUCCUCUGUUUUCUUCUUUAGAUGUUCCUUGGAGCAUUAUCUAAACAGCUCUAUUUUUUUUUACUAUUUCCUUCGGGAAUUCAACUCUUUCCGGGAAUUUCAGCAGGAUUUACAGUGGAUUUUUUUUUUCGAGAUUGAACAAUCUCGCCAAAAGAUUCUCUACGAUUUAUUACAAGGGUUUUUAUGGGAAUUCUACCACAAGCUUGUUCAUUCGUUUUUCAGAAAAUUUUGGUAGGAAUUCCUCCAAGAGUUGCAUUGGAUUUUUUCCAUGGAAAUCUUUUAAAAGUUCAUCCGAGUUUUUUUUUCCAGAAGCUACUUAGGCAAUUUUCCGAAAUUCCUGAAGUCCAGGAGGAAUGAAUUUCCGGAGUUACUGUUAGAGAUCCUCUGGAAAGGCUUUCUGCAGAUAUUCUGAUACAAAUUUCCAAAGGGACUAAAAACUCCACAAGCAAUAAUUGAGAAUGGAAACCUGAUGGAAAUUUCCGGAGAUACAUACUUUGGGGGACGUUUUCGAGGAUGAAUCGGAGGUUCCUGGUUCUCCUUAACCUGAGGCUGCCCGAAAGUAAUUUCCAUCGGCACUUUUGUAGAAAUUCUUGAAUAUAUUUCUGGAGGGAAUCGCAAAAAUACCAAGGUAUUCUAAGUUACCAAUACAGGUCUGAGAGGAAUUUUCGAAGCAAUUAUGGAAGAGUUAGGAAUUUCAAGAGGUAUUUCCGCUUGUUUUCUUUGAGGAAUUCUUGGAACUGCUCAGGCAGAAAUCAGAGAUUUAUUUUUCAUAUUCCCAAUGCAAGUCUGACAAGGAGUUCACGCAACAAUUCUCAAUUCCCCAAUGGAUUCUCUGAAAAGAAUUCCCGGAAAUACACUAAAGUAUUCCUGAAGAUACUCUGAACGGAACCCCAGAGUUUAUCUGAGAAUAAUUCACUAAGGAGUUUCCGUAGUAGCUCUGGGAGUUGAUUUGGAAGGAAUUAUGGGAAGAAUUUCAACAGGUAUUAGGAGAGACUCCAGAACAAUUCUUGGAUCGGUGUUGGAAUGAUUCUGCGGAGGUACUCCGCCAAAGUAUAACCGGAGCUUCUCUGAAAGGAAUCCUCAGAAACUCCCUAAACUUUUGGAAGCAUAAUAUUGAAGAAACUCCUAGCACAAAUCCUCCAAGAAUGAUUAAACGAACCCAGAAGAACUUCUAAAAAAAAAUUCUCAGAGAAACUGCAUCUGAAAUUCUCGAAGAAGCUCCUGGAGAAACUGCAAGAGAAAAUAUUUGAGUAAUCUUUAGAAGACAUCUUGAAAAACAAAAACUCAAAGAAACUUUUAGUUGAACUCCUGGGUACAUUCAUGAAAAUGCGUAAAGAAACUCACGGAUGAACUUCUAAAGAAAUUCCUGGAGAAACUGUUGGAGGAAUUCAGGGUGAUAACUUGUGGAAUUCCUGAAGAAAUAUCAUAUGGAGCUUCUAUAGGAGUUCUUAAAAAUCACAGGUGGAACUCCUGCAAAAGUCUCAAGUGGAGUUCCUGAAUAAAAAAAACACAGAAUAUUCAGCAAAAAUCGCAGGGGAACUGCUGUUAAAUUUAAGGUGGAAAGUCUGGAUAAAUCUUAUGUAGAACUCAGGGAAAAAACCAGGUGGAACUGUUACAGAAAUCCCAGAUGGAACUGCUGGAAAAAGCCCAGGUGGAACUUCUGGAUAAAUCUCAGGUGCAACUUGUACAGAAAUCCCAAGUGCAACUCCUGAAAAAAUCACAAAAAAAAAUCCUGAAAACUCCAGGGAAAUUCCAGGUCAAACUCCUGGAGAAACCUAAGCUGGAACUUCUGACGGAUUCCUAGAUUGGACUUCCAGAGGAAUUUUAGGUGGAGCUCCUGAAGGAAACCUAGAUGGAUCCGCUGUAAAAAAUCCCAGGAGGUUCACCUGGUAGCGUUUCAAGAGAAACUGGAGUAUCGCCAGACCACUCACACAAGGAACCAAUGAGAUAUCUGUCGGGGACUAAAUAGGUAUCUUCAAUGUUUGAGUGUUGGUGAUCUUCUAUUAUUAGGCGACAAUGGCGCCUGCGCGUCAAGUUGCUGGUCAAUGUGGGGAAGGGAAACGAAGUGGUGACUGCAAUCGUUUGUAUUCACUGCAGACCAAAUAUACCUCUGCGCCUGCACAAAUUCAUGCGGAUGUCGGAGUUCGUAGGAUAUCGUUGGCAAAGGGUUCACACGUUGGUGCGUGGAUGCCAGGCGUAAGAUAAGAGAUUAGUGUGAUUAUAACUGUGAAGAUAAUGCGGCACAAUUCGCUUGAUUUCAUAACUCGUAGGGGUUCUCUGAUAUAUUGGCACUGUGCUGUGAAAGUUGGAAGGAAGGGAAACGGUCUCUACGCUAUCCUUGCUUCCGACGUACUGAUGGCAGAUGGAGUAUCACUAUGAUUCAAGAUUAUUUCCCUUCUCUUCCAGGUCUGCGAGCUGGACAUCAUCUUCAACUUCGAGAAGGCGUACUUCAUCCUGGACGAGCUGCUGGUGGGCGGUGAGAUCCAGGAAACGUCCAAGAAGAACGUCCUGAAGGCCAUCGCGGCCCAGGACGUCCUCCAAGAGGACGAAACGCCGCAGGGAUUUUUCGAGGAUCACGGUCUUGGAUAGACCGCUGCGCACAGCCGUGGCCGCCAUCAGGGCCCGCAAAUACCCUCUUGAAAAUGAGAAAACGAAAGAAAGCCUCACACGUCAACAACCAUUUUUUUCUUGCAUCAUCACUAUUAAUCGAGUAGGUUAGGUUAGCUUUGCCUGGUUUACCAUUUUGUCCGCCCCUCCACGCGGUAGUCGUCGUCAUCGGUGUUAUUUGUUGGCCGUUCUCGACGGUUGGAGGAUCGAUUUCAAGUAUUAGUGGCAAUUAGUUUGCGAAACUGCAUUUUUAGCGUUAAAAACCACCAACAGAGGGGACAUAUCAAAAUCAUCCUUGGUUAUCGAUUGGCACACGAUUUUUUUUUGAGUACUUAUUUACACUAGAUAAAAAAGACAUCGUAAAGAAUGAUUAUGAAUCUUAUAGUUUUAGUGAUUUAGAAAUGGAUCGAAUUUUGCGUGAUUCAAGCUUCAUAUUACCAUCACUCACAUUAGUCGUUAUCUUAUCCAACGAAGCGUGAAUCUCCAGUUAUCUUACAACUUCUGAUGAAGUGCACAAAAGUUAUUUUUAUCAAUAUAACAUACACUAAGUAAAACAUUCGCAAUUACGUUUCAUCCGGAUUUAAUCGAAUAAUUUCAAAUGUGAUAGGCGUUGACCUAGGAAGAAUCGUCAAAAGUUUUAUUUCUGCGAACAACUCAUCGCAACUGGCAAAGUAUAAUACAUUUCGCUUCAGUUUACACAA
RNA transcript from Aedes albopictus (Asian tiger mosquito), 4498 nucleotides. RefSeq lists it as uncharacterized. The record is from RefSeq and is a predicted model, not a curated record. Lineage: Eukaryota; Metazoa; Arthropoda; Insecta; Diptera; Culicidae. The transcript is spliced from 2 exons.